CAACACACCACCCACAUCUGGCAGGAAACCAGAUGCAGGCUAGGCGUUUGUGGGCCUGUUCUACUUGCUGUCCUACAUGGAUCCAAUCUAGGAUCACACGCUGCAAGUAGUUGUCAUGUCUCCUUAGUCUGCUGUAUACUGGACCUGCUUCUUAGCCUUUCUGUGUCUUCCACGACCUUGACACUUUUGAAGGGUACAGACAAGUUGUUUUCAAGGAUGUCUCUGAGUUCGGGUUUGUCUGAUGUUUCCUUAUGGUUAUAUUCAGAUGAUGCAUUUUUGAUGAGAAUACCACCAAAGUGAUGUUCUGUCCUCUUGGUGCAUCGUACCGGAAGCACGGGAUGCUGGUCUGUCCAUUGUCGCUGAUGUUUGAUUUGAUCACUGGGUUAAGGUGGUGUCCUCCAGGUUUCUCCACUGUAGUUAUUAUUUUUCCCUUUGUAAUUAAUAAAUAAUUUGUGGGAAGCUA
Long non-coding RNA from Diceros bicornis minor, 463 nucleotides. RefSeq lists it as uncharacterized. The transcript is spliced from 2 exons. The record is from RefSeq and is a predicted model, not a curated record. Lineage: Eukaryota; Metazoa; Chordata; Mammalia; Perissodactyla; Rhinocerotidae.